GCCCUUAGAGUUUGAUCCUGGCUCAGGACGAACGCUGGCGGCGCGCCUAACACAUGCAAGUCGAACGAGCGAGAGAGAGCUUGCUUUCUCGAGCGAGUGGCGAACGGGUGAGUAACGCGUGAGGAACCUGCCUCAAAGAGGGGGACAACAGUUGGAAACGACUGCUAAUACCGCAUAAGCCCACGGGUCGGCAUCGACCAGAGGGAAAAGGAGCAAUCCGCUUUGAGAUGGCCUCGCGUCCGAUUAGCUAGUUGGUGAGGUAACGGCCCACCAAGGCAACGAUCGGUAGCCGGACUGAGAGGUUGAACGGCCACAUUGGGACUGAGACACGGCCCAGACUCCUACGGGAGGCAGCAGUGGGGAAUAUUGCACAAUGGGGGAAACCCUGAUGCAGCGACGCCGCGUGGAGGAAGAAGGUCUUCGGAUUGUAAACUCCUGUUGUUGAGGAAGAUAAUGACGGUACUCAACAAGGAAGGACGGAUAUUACG
This 488-nucleotide ribosomal RNA is filed under the name uncultured bacterium. Its description in RNAcentral is "bacterial SSU rRNA". It matches the Rfam family "Bacterial small subunit ribosomal RNA", at positions 1 to 505 of the family's 1533-position model. The record is from RNAcentral.